CCCUGGGCUAGAGGAGACUCGCUGGGCGUCGGCGGGGCGAGAGUGAUGAGGGUGAUUCCGCGCGGGAGCCCUGCCUGCCCUGUGCUAAACCUUCACCCAGGCGACUUCGUGUAAUCUUCACGGCAGCCCUGUGCGGAGGAACGGCUGUUCUCGCUUUACAGAUGGGGAAACUGAGGCACGGACUGGUGUGUAUUUGAAGAAUGAGUGGGGAAAAGAUUAGAAGACACUGAUUAGUCGUUGCACGAAAACUUGGCUGUCGUUAGUUACAACGUGUGACCCUCAGGUAACAGCUAGGUCAGGGCUUGCCUGCCGGUGGGAGGAGUGGACCCCCAUCCGCAGGCUCAGAAAUCCCGUUGAGACCAGCGGUAAGGACAACAGAAGACAGAGUUGGGAUCAUCAGUGCUUGGAGAGCUGGCUGGCCCUCCUCAAGCUGAGAGACAGCCACCAGCAGACCAGAGAAGUCAUGGCAACUAAAUGCAACGUGGGACCCUUGCCUGGAUCCUGGAGCAGAAAGAAAAACUGGCAGAAUCCAACUAAAGUCUGGAGUAUGGUUGACAGCAAUGUACCAAUGUUAGUUUCUUAGUCUUGACCAAUGUAAGGGCCCUUAAGUGGGAGAAACUGGAGUAUAUGGAAACUCCCUGGAACAUCUUUGCAGCUUUUCUGUAAAUCUAAAAUUAUUCCAAAAUAAAACGUUUGUUUAA
Long non-coding RNA from Hippopotamus amphibius kiboko, 701 nucleotides. RefSeq lists it as uncharacterized. NCBI's taxonomy places the organism in Eukaryota, Metazoa, Chordata, Mammalia, Artiodactyla, Hippopotamidae. The transcript is spliced from 3 exons. The record is from RefSeq and is a predicted model, not a curated record.